Molecule: ribosomal RNA, 253 nt
Filed under: uncultured bacterium
Lineage: Bacteria
Description: partial 16S ribosomal RNA
Rfam family: Bacterial small subunit ribosomal RNA
Source: RNAcentral
UACGGGGGGAGCAAGCGUUGUUCGGAUUUACUGGGCGUAAAGGGCGCGUAGGCGGCGCAACAAGUCACUUGUGAAAUCUCCGGGCUUAACCCGGAGCGGCCAAGUGAUACUGUCGUGCUAGAGUGCGGAAGGGGCUACUGGAAUUCUCGGUGUAGCGGUGAAAUGCGUAGAUAUCGAGAGGAACACCUGCGGCGAAGGCGGGUAGCUGGGCCGACACUGACGCUGAGGCGCGAAAGCCAGGGGAGCAAACGGG